GAUGAACGCUGGCGGCGUGCCUAAUACAUGCCAGUCGAGCGAGCAGACGAGGAGCUUGCUCCUCUGACGUUAGCGGCGGACGGGUGAGUAACACGUGGAUAACCUACCUAUAAGACUGGGAUAACUUCGGGAAACCGGAGCUAAUACCGGAUAAUAUAUUGAACCGCAUGGUUCAAUAGUGAAAGACGGUUUUGCUGUCACUUAUAGAUGGAUCCGCGCCGCAUUAGCUAGUUGGUAAGGUAACGGCUUACCAAGGCAACGAUGCGUAGCCGACCUGAGAGGGUGAUCGGCCACACUGGAACUGAGACACGGUCCAGACUCCUACGGGAGGCAGCAGUAGGGAAUCUUCCGCAAUGGGCGAAAGCCUGACGGGGCAACGCCGCGUGAGUGAUGAAGGUCUUCGGAUCGUAAAACUCUGUUAUUAGGGAAGAACAAAUGUGUAAGUAACUAUGCACGUCUUGACGGUACCUAAUCAGAAAGCCACGGCUAACUACGUG
RNAcentral lists this ribosomal RNA (497 nucleotides) under uncultured bacterium. RNAcentral describes it as "partial 16S ribosomal RNA". It matches the Rfam family "Bacterial small subunit ribosomal RNA", at positions 28 to 507 of the family's 1533-position model. The record is from RNAcentral.